GCGCAGUUAAGAUCAGUUUCAUUUCGAUUAUCAAGCCUUCAACGUCAGCACAGAACAUACGGAUUGUGUCAUCGUGACAGGAUCGCUCAGAUCCUCGCGUUGGAUGGGCGUUUACAUUCGAUCGGUGUUCGCGAAUGAGCUUAUCCCAUCCGCGCUAACAACGGGAUUACACAAGCCGUGUUUAAAAUUACAACACCGAAAGUCAGAUUGACAGUAAUUGCAUAUAAAUAGAAAAUAAUUUAAAUCGGAACGAAUAGUUUAGUCAAAACAUUGUUUUUGAACCACAAUCCAAAUCAAAUUCGCCGAAAAAAAUUAAAUACUCAACAUGAAGGAACAAUAUUUAAUAAUCUACAUGUGUUCUAAUGUGCUUAUUGCGUGAAAACUUUGUUUCAAGGAUCGUCGUUCAGCUUUAUGAAAACAUUGUGAGAAUAUAUAUAAAUCUAACAACAUAUAUUUACAUUUACAGAUAUCAUUUAAUCUCGCCCAUGAGCAACUCUCUAAAAAUUCAAUUACUUAAAGGACCCAUCUAUGGAAAAAAAUUAAGACUCACCAAAAAUCGGAUAUGAAGAAAUCUCACCAAAACUAUUCCAACAAUCAAACUCAAUAGUCUCAUAAAUGAGUGACAAUCUUGAGUUACAUUUGCCUCUAAAAGACUCAUUUGCCAUUGCAGCGAAAAACGUUCAUCUAUAUAAACAAUGGCGUGCUGUCGGAGAAAUGUAAAGGAGUAUUGGCGGAGGAGCAGCUAAAAGAUUAAGAAAGAUAAACCAUCCCUUCAACUUACAACUAUAACAACAAAGAUAACUACUACGAAAAGCUAAUUUCCCCAGCUAAGCACUCGCAGCAGGAGAAAGAUAAGAGCAUCACCCCUGCUUAACAUAUACAUACAUACCUCUUCCACCCCAUUCUUAAAUACAAGGCCACGUACAUAUGUAUGUAUGUGUGCGUGCCACACGCGGAGGGAUUCAUUCAUCAACAUCUGAAGCAUCAUUCAUACAUAAAUUCGCUCCUGCCUCUCUUAUGAAUGAGCUGACGGGUUUUGCACACAGAAGCACUUUCGAUAUUCAACGCUUAGAUUUUGGGCAAUUUUGGCUGUGACGAACUAAAUAUCAGUAAUUGAUUUUCGGCAAAUUUUAGGUAAAAUUCGCAUAAUAUGUAUGUAUAUAAAUUCAAUAACCAAAAGGAAAACAGAACAGAAAUUAGAAAGGGUCGAGGUGAGCUAGUGAAAUAAUUAGUAGGUACAUAAUUAAGUGCAAAACAUUUUGAACACAAUCAAAUAUUGAAGCUUAUCCCAAAUUUUAUUUGUUUUUAAGCAAUUAGAUAUAUAAGUGUACACACAAACAUACAUACCUAAAAUUGUACACAUCCGCAAUAAAUACAACUUCAAAAAAAUUUUCUACUAAGUGGAAGUAACAAAAUUGGCAAAGUAAAUAUCUUCAACUACAUCCGAGAAGCUGCCAUGGACUACGAAAUUGAUAUUUACCAAAAUCAACUUGCAAUAGUUACAAUUUCGACAAAAUUAACUAUUUCGUCGCACUUAAUGCGUUUUUCAAAAGCACUAAUAUUCUGAAAUUUUCUGUGGUUAUUCUAACCACUCCUUAGAGUAUAACUUUCUCCAUCGAUGUCAACAGCACCACCCAAUACAUUUAUUUUUAAUAAAAAUGGCAGCCGUUUCUUGGAUGUCAUUGAAGAAUCCGAUAGGCCGGUAUUCUGAACAAGAAUUAAAAUCGCUGAAUAAUGCGUUAUUUUUGGAAAAUUUCUUUUAGGAAUUUGCUCACCUAGAAGUAAUCAUAUCCGAUGGCGCUCGAAAUUUUUAAUUUUAUGGAUUAUGAUCUUCGAAAACGAAGCAAAGUGUUAAAAGAAAUUUUAGUAGAAUGCUAAAAAAUUUAGUACACUCUUCUAUCUAAGGAAGCUUGAAAUUAUCCGAAGAAUAUAAAAUAAAUACCAAAAGAACCUUUUGAAUUUCUUCUACCCACGUAAAUCCGGCAGGGUUUAAAAAAAUCAUAAAUUAAUUAUACAUAGUACAUCUAAAACUUUUAUGUUACUAAAUAUGACAAUUAAACAUCAAAUUGUUUUUUA
This is a long non-coding RNA of Rhagoletis zephyria (snowberry fruit fly), 2076 nucleotides long. RefSeq lists it as uncharacterized. Lineage: Eukaryota; Metazoa; Arthropoda; Insecta; Diptera; Tephritidae. The record is from RefSeq and is a predicted model, not a curated record.